UUCAAAGUAGCUCAGCGAUGGAGCAAUCGGCUGUUAACCGAUCAGUCGCAGGUUCGAUUCCUGCCUUUGGAG
Molecule: transfer RNA, 72 nt
Filed under: Sporosarcina sp. P16b
Lineage: Bacteria; Bacillati; Bacillota; Bacilli; Caryophanales; Caryophanaceae
Description: tRNA-Asn
Rfam family: tRNA
About the family: Transfer RNA (tRNA) molecules are approximately 80 nucleotides in length. Their secondary structure includes four short double-helical elements and three loops (D, anti-codon, and T loops).
Source: RNAcentral